This is a non-coding RNA of Hydra vulgaris (swiftwater hydra), 118 nucleotides long. NCBI's taxonomy places the organism in Eukaryota, Metazoa, Cnidaria, Hydrozoa, Anthoathecata, Hydridae. The record is from RefSeq and is a predicted model, not a curated record.
CCAUUAUCUCAAACAAAGGUUUUGCAACGAAAUACUAAGGAUACCACUGCUAUUUCAAUGACUGCGAGCUUUCUUGAUAUUAUUGUUUUUUUUUCUGAAAUAAAAUGUAAAACUAUUA